Rhinolophus ferrumequinum (greater horseshoe bat) is the source of this 496-nucleotide long non-coding RNA. RefSeq lists it as uncharacterized. NCBI's taxonomy places the organism in Eukaryota, Metazoa, Chordata, Mammalia, Chiroptera, Rhinolophidae. The record is from RefSeq and is a predicted model, not a curated record. The transcript has 3 exons.
CACCGCCUCACAGACACUGCCGAAAAAGUCCACCCCAGGAAUGCUGCGAGCCUCGCAGCAGCUCCCCUGGGCCUGUCACCACAAGGCUGUUGCAAGGAUUAGAGAGAAUACCUGUAAAGAAUAUGGAUGCUCAGAAGUGCUACGGAUGCUACUCCUACUCGAGAUUAUUCCCCCAGGUCCCUGACUGGACCUUCCCUGCCACUGCUGACCCCAGUCCCAGGCUGGCUGCCAGCCUGCUGAACCUCCAACCACAGUGCCAGGAGGCAGUGCCAGGAGAGGCAAGUGGCCAUGUCAAAGAACCCCACGCGGCAAGGACUGCAGGGGACCCCUAGUUGCUCAGAGCGGUUUCUGGCCAAUACCAAGCAAGAAACUGAAGCUCAGUCCAACAACUGCAAGGAAUUGACUUCUGCCAACAACCCAAGUCAUCCUGAAAGGGAUCCUUCUCCAGUCGAACCUCCAAUGAGACCAUAGCGUUGGCCAACCCCUAAUGGCAGCC